AUUUUCACUACGCUGGGGGCGUAGGCCAUCACGCGCCGCGUGAUGGAGCUCACAGGGAGCCCAGAUUUUGACUCUGAUCACGCGCCGCGUGAUGCCUUACCACGCGCGGCGUGAAGCUUUGCUGAAGAAAAAGAUUGCUCUCUGACUUGAUCACGCGCCGCGUGAUUCUGUUACCACGCGCGGCGUAGUUGAUGAAAUUGCAACCACGCGCGGCGUGACAGAUCUAGCGCGCGGCGUGGUUG
RNAcentral lists this long non-coding RNA (242 nucleotides) under Trifolium pratense (red clover). RNAcentral describes it as "long non-coding RNA (TPRA_LNC009089)". The record is from RNAcentral. Lineage: Eukaryota; Viridiplantae; Streptophyta; Magnoliopsida; Fabales; Fabaceae.